This 254-nucleotide ribosomal RNA is filed under the name uncultured bacterium. RNAcentral describes it as "partial 16S ribosomal RNA". It matches the Rfam family "Bacterial small subunit ribosomal RNA", at positions 524 to 776 of the family's 1533-position model. The record is from RNAcentral.
CACGUAGGGGCCAAGCGUUGUCCGGAUUUAUUGGGCGUAAAGAGCUCGUAGGCAGUUCGACAAGUCGGGUGUGAAAACUCCGGGCUCAACCCGGAGACGCCACCCGAUACUGUCGUGACUGGAGUCCGGUAGGGGAGUGGGGAAUUCCUGGUGUAGCGGUGGAAUGCGCAGAUAUCAGGAGGAACACCGGUGGCGAAGGCGGGUCUCUGGGCAGUAACUGACGCUGAGGAGCGAAAGCGUGGGGAGCGAACAGG